This 253-nucleotide ribosomal RNA is filed under the name uncultured bacterium. RNAcentral describes it as "partial 16S ribosomal RNA". It matches the Rfam family "Bacterial small subunit ribosomal RNA", at positions 524 to 776 of the family's 1533-position model. The record is from RNAcentral.
UACAGAGGUGGCAAGCGUUGUUCGGAAUUACUGGGCGUAAAGGGCGAGUAGGCGGCCUUCUAAGUCAGACGUGAAAUCCCCCGGCUUAACCUGGGAACUGCGUCUGAUACUGGGAGGCUAGAGUAUGGGAGAGGGAUGUGGAAUUCCAGGUGUAGCGGUGAAAUGCGUAGAUAUUAGCUAGAACACCAGUGGCGAAGGCGACUACCUGGCCUGUUCUUGACGCUGAGGCGCGAAAGCUAGGGGAGCAAACGGG